This is a long non-coding RNA of Magnolia sinica, 1033 nucleotides long. RefSeq lists it as uncharacterized. The record is from RefSeq and is a predicted model, not a curated record. The transcript has 2 exons. NCBI's taxonomy places the organism in Eukaryota, Viridiplantae, Streptophyta, Magnoliopsida, Magnoliales, Magnoliaceae.
UUAUUUUUUGGUCUUUUGCUGAAAAAGUUCAUAUAUAUCAUAGGAACAAAGCUUAAAGGAAUGAGUAGCUGACAGUCCUUUAGUUAAUGAAUUUUAGUUAAAGUCCAAUUAUCAUCUAUGAUUUAUCUUCUCUUUAGAAUUAUUCAUCAUGUCAUGUUUUUAUUUGACAGUGCUUUAUUCUGUUUCUCAUCUCGUAUUAUAUCCCUUCUGGCUAUUUAUUGUAGGAAGCCAACUUUAUUCUCCCACACAUAACAAGUUCCUUCAUAUCAUGGUAUCAAAGCCAUUGCAAUAAGCAGCUGUGGAGCCCUAAAGGCGAAGAGCGGCAUGCCGCUCAGGAAGCUUCUAAAACCAUGGAUUCACAUCACUGUAAACAUAAAGAAGGGCAUUUUUGGAAUCUCAGAGAGAGAUGCAAUGCUAGAAAUGGAGACGAUUUCCAGAACAGAGACAGAUGUUGGGUUCUUAUGGAGAAGGUCAGACGUUGGCUGAGAGACACGUGGAGAAAUUUGGCUGGAUAAGAACCACGUCGGAUGGUCGGCUCCGACUGCUUUUGUAGGUUCCAGGCGCCCUCCCUCCAACUCCAUCUUCGAUCGCCAAAAGACGGAGUCUCCACACGUGCUAAGGUAGCUCGUGUGCGGGAUCUGGCACUUUCCAAAGGUGGGCAGUGUUCCCUGAUGAAUAUAUAGCCCGUGUACAUAUAAAGGUAGACGUUUAUAAAAAUAAAUAAUAAACGUCUGCGUUGAAAAUGCACGUAUUAGUGUCCCUAGUCAACGUUCUAUCCUCGCACGCGCAUGUGCCACGUAGGCACGUACGGGGAGUGGGUUUUGGUGCGUGCGUGAAGAUGGGCGGCUGGAAUUAGCAUUCCUCGUUAGUUACGUGAUACUCAUGAGCCAGAGAUCUGCAUAGUAGCGUAGGGUUUUCGGUUUCAAAGUGAGAUCAACGGUUCAGAUGCUAGUAUCUUAGACAUCAGAUCUAGGCCCUUUCAAGCUGAAGGUUGAUCCAACCAUAUUUUCCUUACUCAGUUCUUCUUUCUUCA